Molecule: ribosomal RNA, 253 nt
Filed under: uncultured bacterium
Lineage: Bacteria
Description: partial 16S ribosomal RNA
Rfam family: Bacterial small subunit ribosomal RNA
Source: RNAcentral
GACGUAGGGGGCAAGCGUUGUCCGGAUUUAUUGGGCGUAAAGAGCGUGUAGGCGGCCAUACAGGUCAGCUGUGAAAACUCGAGGCUCAACCUCGAGACGUCGGUUGAAACCGUUUGGCUAGAGUCCGGAAGAGGAGAGUGGAAUUCCCGGUGUAGCGGUGAAAUGCGCAGAUAUCGGGAAGAACACCCGUGGCGAAGGCGGCUCUCUGGGACGGUACUGACGCUGAGACGCGAAAGCGUGGGGAGCGAACAGG